UACGUAGGGUGCAAGCGUUGUCCGGAAUUAUUGGGCGUAAAGAGCUCGUAGGCGGUUUGUCGCGUCUGCUGUGAAAACCUAGGGCUUAACCCUGGGCCUGCAGUGGGUACGGGCAGACUAGAGUGCGGUAGGGGAGACUGGAAUUCCUGGUGUAGCGGUGAAAUGCGCAGAUAUCAGGAGGAACACCGGUGGCGAAGGCGGGUCUCUGGGCCGUAACUGACGCUGAGGAGCGAAAGCGUGGGGAGCGAACAGG
This 253-nucleotide ribosomal RNA is filed under the name uncultured bacterium. RNAcentral describes it as "partial 16S ribosomal RNA". It matches the Rfam family "Bacterial small subunit ribosomal RNA", at positions 524 to 776 of the family's 1533-position model. The record is from RNAcentral.